Molecule: long non-coding RNA, 869 nt
Filed under: Mytilus galloprovincialis (Mediterranean mussel)
Lineage: Eukaryota; Metazoa; Mollusca; Bivalvia; Mytilida; Mytilidae
Source: RNAcentral
UUUUAUCCUUUUUUUCAAAGAUUUUUUGGGAACUUGUGCUCUUUUUAUACGACGUCAUCAGACAUGGUCGCAUUAAUUACGUUUAUGUUGGUACUUCUUGUUUUCUGGUUUUUUUUGUUUUUUUUUUGGUUAAUGGUUUGUGUUCCUCCUUUAAGUCUAAGAUAAGACAACAAUUGUGUUUUUUUAGUCGCAAUACAGCAUGCUUUUUCCAACUGAUUUCUACUGUGUGCUCUUAUAUUCUGCUGUUGUACCUUUAGUUUAGGCAAGGGGAGGGUGAAAGACAGAGAAACACGUUUACUUCGCCGAACAUUUCAAGGUUCUUACUGUAUAAUUUUGACAAUUUUCAUUUAGAGUUUACAUCAUAUUAUAUUUCCAUCUUAUUGUUCUCAUUUUAGGAGUCAUAUUGUAUAAUUUUGACCAUGAACCGCUAAUAUUUAGCUUUCAUAUAAUGUAUUUUUGUCAUAACAUAAUUUACGUUAGGAUUCACACAUGGUAGGUCAAAGUAUAUUGAUGUUAGUUCUGUUUUCCUGACAUCGUGUUAUAUUGUCUCAAUAUUACAUUUCAGUAUUAAAAUCAUUGUGUUUGUUACUGUAUGAUUACAUUUAAUGGUCCAUAUCUUCUUAAUCCUCAUUGUAUGAUUAACAUAUAAGGGACCACAUAAUGUUAUUUGUUUUUAAUUCACAUUUUAGGUUGCAAAUCGUUCUAUUUGUUACUAUUGGAUUCUGUUGCAUGUGACUAUGAUUCACAUGUAAAUGUUAUUUUUUUUUAAUCGUAGUACUUUGUCAGUGUUGUUGUUUCUUAAAUAGUUUUAAAUCAUGUUUUUAUGACAAUGCUGUCAUGUAUAUAUAAACAGUAUCUGUAUAUUAAAG